AGAGGAAAAGAAGACUAACAUUCAGAAAGCCGUGCUGAGGGGACAUCCCAGAGUAUCUCAACCAUGGUGGAGUGCAUUUUGAGGAAAUGAUAGACGAUCUGGAUGAGGAAGGCAAGCAGGUUAUAGGCACUAUGUGGGUGCUGCUAGGAUUCCAAAUGAGCUACACACACAUACACACACACACACACACACACACACACACACCCCUUCAUACCUGUGAUUUGUGCACAUACAGCCUGUGUAAGUUCCUCAGAAGUCAAAGUUGAAAGCAUCCAUCUGUACUGUCCCGAGGCCACAAUCGUACCCUUGUCAUUGAUAGUCCUUGUCACAGUGUCUUAUGAUGUCUUCCUGGGUCAAAAUUUCAUUUUUCUCAGAGUAUAAUCUGAUGAACAGUUUCUAUGUUUUCCUAUAUUUUCUUCUGGGUUGACCAAAUAAUACUCACAACAUUUUUCUUCCUAUGAAUCAUAUUCAUCUGUGUGGCUGUGACAGUCAAGGGGCAGCGCCCAUGCUAUAGCCAGUGCCCAAGCUGUUGAGUAGAGACUCCAGGAGGCUGAGUCUCUGGGGUUGGCAAUAGACUAUAGGCACAUGAACUUUUCAAAUCAGUGAAGCACAGGUAGAAGUUAUACCUGCCACUCCCGAGCAGGUAUGAUUAGAGUAGUCAGGGGCCUCUGGCUUGCCUCUUUUUCUUCUGCUAGAAUACUGGCAGACUCCACAACUAUAUUGCCAGCUAUCUGAGGUCUGUAGGGAAAGCAGUCUAGAGACUGUCAGCAGCUGGACAAAGCAUGCUGGUUAGUUCAAAGUUCUUGUGUUUUGUGAGCAUUAUAUUUUCAUUGUUUGGUGCAUCUUAGUGUGUCUAGAUGGGCUAUUGCAGGCAAGCUUGGGGAGAGUGAGAGAUAGGCUCCAUCCUGGGUAUCUCUCAUGCCUAUCCCUUGCUCAAAUGAUGGCUGCCAGUGCUAGCCCACGUCACUAGGUGUGAUGUGGAAUGGAUGAGAUUGUGGCUACUGAUAGGACAUCAGUAUGAAACCCUGUCCUAUGUGGCUUUUCCUGGAGAUAUGUGAAGAGUCAUUUACUUAUUCUAGAAAGCAGCCCGCAUACUAAAGAAACUACCCCACCUGCGUAAAUGCCCUAAGCUGAUGUGUUUACUGGUGUUAACUUGAAGAAAUAUAGGUGACUCAAAAGCAGCUCUAUCACAAAAACUCCUACCUAAGCACAGGUGAUGACUUACACAUGCAACUUUGCUGAAGUGUAACCCAUUGUCAGCCUUCCACUUCCUGGAUCUUCAACCACUUCCCAAGUCUAUGCACAGCUGGGGGCAGGAAGAGCACAGAAGGAGUCUUACGUGAGGGUCUGGUGACACUCCAUUCUGCUGAGAGUGGAUAGUAACAGUUCCAGCAUCACUAUCACAGACCCAAUGAUUACUAACCCCUGCAUUGUUCUCUUACUUUGAAUUUUAAAAAUUAUAUUCCAUUUUCUCAUUUGUGUGUGUGUGUGUGUGUGUGUGUGUGUGUGUGUGUGUAGGCAUCUACAUUAUAUUGGUUGCUUUUCCUGUUGCUGUGAUAAAAUACCAUGACCAACUUAUGGCAAAGAGUUUAUGUGGGCUUACAGUUCCAAAAGGUUAAGAGUCCGUUGUGGCAGGGAGGUAUGGCCACAGGACAUCUCCAUCAGACAGCUGAGAGAUCAUAUCUCAACCUCAAGGCAUGAAGUGGUAGAGAGAACUGUAAAUUGGCAAGGCCAUGUACUCUCAAACCCCAUGCCCAGUAAGACCUCCCAAAACAGCGCCACCAGCUAGGCACCAAGUACUUAAAACCUGACUCCUACAGGAGACAUUUCUCAUUCAAACUACCACGUGUGGACCACAGCACUUGUGUGGAGGUCAAGAACAGUGUGUGAGACAUGAUUCUUCUCCUUCUACCAUACACACAAAUCAGGAAUGGAACUCAGAUCAUCAGGCAUGGUGGCAGCUGUCUUUAAAUUUUCUAUGGAGCUGAGGAUGCCCUUGAAUUCCUCAUCCUCCAAUCUCUACCCACCAAGUGCUAGGAUUAUAGGCAUGGACAACCAUGCCUAGCUUUAUUGUUGAAUAGUAUGAUUUCUGAUUCUUUCAUGGAAUUAUUUUUCAAUAGUGUUAUUUUUAACACUUGCAGACAUUCUAAAACGUAGAGCGAAGAAGGUGCUUAGUCAUCAUGCAAGUGUUGAAUAUGGAAGCUGGUUCCAGAGUUUAGCUGUUAUCAAUCGUGCUGCAUGCAGUUAGUAUCUGUGUACUUGCAGCUUCACGUAAUUGCAUGAAUAUUUCUACUGGCAAGUUCCCUGGGAAGUUCUUGCUGAUAAGAUGUGUACAGCAUGAAUUAUGACACUGGCUGCUUAUGGCUCUCUAUGGAUGCUCUAGCAAGAGCAUGCACUAACUUACAGGGAAUGUGUAAAGUAGCUUACUGCUCCCCACCCUUGCUCUCUCUUGCCCAACAGGACACUGGAUUGGUUCAAAAGAGUGCCUCUUCAUUGUGGUAGUUGCAGUACACUCCCUCCUUUGGAGUCAAGAGUAAGCCCAUGGACUGAAGGUGCAGUUUGGAAGUAGAUCUCUACUUUAAUUAUAUACAAUAUCCUGUACUCUGUUCCCAGGACCAUAUAAAAACAUAUCCGCACUGAAACAAAGACAUGUCCCUGUAGUCCCAACUACUAAGAAGGCUGAGGCAGAAGGAUUGUGAGUUCAAAGACAACUUGGGAUAGAGAGUGAGUUCAAGGACAACGUGGGCAACUUAGCAUGGUCUCGUCUUCAAACAAAAAUAAAAUUAAGUGUGAGGGUUGAGGCCUAGUGGUGUAGAAACCUGGGUGCCAACCCUGCUACCACAAAGAAUAGACCCACAUUGUUCUUGUUAGUGAAUGUUAUCUCUUUUCUUUCCCUUUCUUCUUCAUUUUCUUUUCACAUUUAUUUUUAUACCUUUUCCAAAGUUUCUCACAACCUAUUCUUUUCUGUAUCUCCUAGUAUUCCAGUUUUGUACAUCACAUAACUGUACCUAUAUUUCUUGUACAUUGAGUACCAUUUAAUGACUCUUUCCACCAAAUCUAUUUUUUUAUGCUUUAAAAGUACUUAGAAUUAUGUAUUUGACAUGUGUAAGUGUUUUGCCCACGUGUGUGUCUGUGCUCCAUGUGCGUACAGUACGCACAAAGUCCAGAAGGGGGCGUCAGGUCAUCUGGAACUGGAAUUACAAAUGCUUGUGUGCUGCCACGUCAAUGCUUAGAACCGAACCUUUGUCAGUUCCAAGAGCAGCCAGUGCCUGUUGAAGUAGCUCAGUCCCUGUUUCUUUUUCUUUAGAAUCUGAAGUUGCUGUGUCAGCAAAGUUGGGUAUUUAUUUAUUUAUUUAUUUAUCUUGCUCUUUCCUCUUUCUCAAUCUUUAUAUGGAUAUAUUAGGAUUCCCUUUUUCUUUAACUGUUUGAAAUCUUUAGAAUUCAAAUAUACUACCUUUUUUUAUCCCUUUUUUAAAAUCACAGCUUUCAUUUGCCUUUCAAAAUGCUACACAUGGCUAAUUCUAAUUUUUCUUCCCCAAAAUAUGUUAAUUAUUCAUAUAUAUGUAUAUGAAUAUUCUUCUGCAAGAAGAGCAAAUGCUCUUAACUGAUAAGCCAUCUCUGUAGCCCUUAGAAAAAAAUCUUUAUUCUUCUUUAAUAGUAAUACAUAAAACACAUGAAAGUUUUUGAAUCCCAUUAUCAGAAAGUCAUUGUCGUUAGCUGUGGUUGCUUGACAGCACUUUUGUUCAUCGCUGCUUCUCUUAUCUCGUGUUUGUCUUUAUCAAAUUCACACUUUCAUGUUUCUGGAGAGCAUGCUUGAAGAUCAUUUACAAAAGAACAUUUUUUUGGUCUUUAAAAGUGGAAGGUGUAUUUCUGUUGUCUCCAGUUCUGAACAACCAUCUAGAUAAGUGCAGAAUUCACAGCACACAGUUAUUAUCUUUUGGCCCAUGUUGCUCCCUCAUUUCUAGUACCCUUUUCUUUUUGUUAGAGCUUUUAUUGCUAUGCCAAAAAUACCAUGCCCCCAAAGCAAGUUGGGUGUGAAAGGGUGUGUUGGGCUUACACUUACGUCCACGGCACUGUGCAUCGUUGAAGGACAGGAACCAAAUCAAGGCAUGGUUCUGGGGGCAGCCAGGAGCUGAUGCAGGAGCCAUGAACCCAGAACCACUCACCCAGGAAUGCACCUCCCACAAUGGGCUGAUCCCUCCCCAAUUGAUCAGUAAUUGAGAAAAAACCUUACAGCUGUACCUCAUGUGGCAUUUCCUCAAUUGUGUGUCCUUCCUCUCUGAUGACUCUAGCUUGUGUCAAGUUGACACACAAAACCAGCCAGUAUACCCCACUACAAAGUGGGAUUAACAUUCCAGCCCCAUCUUAUCUGCAUUGAUGAUAUUUGCCUAGUUCUGUCUUACUUUAUACUCAUAUUUUUAGUACGUUCUUUUUAUCCAUGUACUUUAGAUAGGAAUCUAUGACAAUUGGGUUGGUAUGUGUCAUGUAUGUACUUUAUGGUCUUUAACAUAAUGAACUAAGUAUUUUUUUAAUGACAAUAAUGUGCCUCAAGUGAUCAUAGCACACGGCUGAACUGUCCAAGGUCAGCCAAUGGAUUGACCAUUUCUAAAUAUGUGUUCAAAAACAAGGUUGAUGUCUAUCAUACACUACUACAAAGACAAGCAUACACACCCUACCAUACAUACCCUACAUACACACCCUACCACCACCGCCACCAAACAACCAACCAAACAAACAAAUAAAACCACUACAAACAAAUACGACCCAACCUAGCAAUAAGAACAAAAUACUUCCACACUCAUUUCAUGUCCCCAGUGCCCAGGUGCCCAGGAAAGCAAUGCCUACUUGACCAACAAGGGGAUAAGAGGCAAUUUCUGGUCUUUUGACAUCAGUCAUUUGUUCCUUGUGAGUACACUCAUGCUAGCAAGGGAAUUUGAGUGGAGAACAUUUGGUUACCACAGGCUGAUGUAUGAAUGAUAGUUCAGAGUUCCAUUCUUCAUACAAUGAUUUUAUCAUCUUUAAGAUCCCAACAUAGUGGAGUGGGUAACAGAC
RNAcentral lists this long non-coding RNA (5052 nucleotides) under Mus musculus (house mouse). RNAcentral describes it as "long non-coding RNA chr7:136280666-136285718". The record is from RNAcentral. Lineage: Eukaryota; Metazoa; Chordata; Mammalia; Rodentia; Muridae.